This 503-nucleotide ribosomal RNA is filed under the name uncultured bacterium. Its description in RNAcentral is "partial 16S ribosomal RNA". It matches the Rfam family "Bacterial small subunit ribosomal RNA", at positions 29 to 523 of the family's 1533-position model. The record is from RNAcentral.
AACGAACGCUGGCGGCACGUUUUAAGCAUGCAAGUCGAAUGGCAGCAGGGGCAACUCUGUGAGAAUGGCGAACGGGUGAGUAACACGUAGGUGAUCUGCCUUGAGGAUGGGGAUAGCCUGUGGAAACAUAGGGUAAUACCGAAUGAGCUGACGAGACUUUGGUUUUGUUAGUAAAGGUGCUACGGCACCGCCUUGAGAGGAGCCUGCGGCUGAUUAGCUAGUUGGUGGGGUAAGAGCUUACCAAGGCGACGAUCAGUAGCCGGCCUGAGCGGGUGUACGGCCACACUGGAACUGAGACACGGUCCCGACUCCUACGGGAGGCAGCAGCUAAGAAUCUUCCGCAAUGGGCGAAAGCCUGACGGAGCGAUGCCGCGUGAUCGAUGAAGGUCGAGAGAUUGUAAAGAUCUUUUCUACAUGAGGAAUAAGUCUGGGAGGGAAUGCCCGGAUGAUGACGUUAGUGUAGGAAUAAGCCCCGGCUAAUUACGUGCCAGCCGCCGCGGUAA